CUCACCAUCUGCAGCCUCUCAGAGGAGAAACUGGUUGUCUUUAGCCUCUCAGAAAAGGAAUUCACAGUCUCUAGCAUCUCAGGGGACAAACUUAUCAUCCUGAGCCUCUCAGAGAAGAAACUUACUGUUUCCAGCCUCCUAGACAGAAACUUGCUGUCUCCAGCCUCUCAGAGGAGAAACGGUCACCAGCCUCUUAGAAGAAGAAAACCUUGCUGUCUCCAGCCUCUUGGAAAAAAACGGCCAUCUCCAGCCUCUGAGAAGAGGACCUCAUUGUCUUCAGCCUCUCAGAAAAAGAACUCACCAACUCCAUCCUCUGAGAGGAAGAACUCACCAUAUCCAGCCAAUCACAGAGACUCACACUCCCCAGCCUCUCAGAGGAGAGACUCACUGUCUUCGCCUCUCAGAGAAAAAACUCACUGUCUCCAGCCUCUCAGAAAAAAAAAAAAGACUUGCCAUCUCCAGCCUCUCAGGAGAAACUCAUUGUCUCCAGCCUUUCAGAGGAGAGAGUCACCAUGUCCAGUUUCUCAGAGGAGGAGCUCACUGUCUUCAGCCUCUCAAAGUAGGGCUUUGCCAUCUCCUGCUACUCAGAGAAGAAGCUCCCCACCUCCAGCCUCUCAGUGGAGACAGUGGGGUUACAAUGGCAUAGCAUUGCCCCAACCCCCAAAAGAAAUAGUAUCGAAGUCCAAUGUAAACCUAUUAAUUACGUGGCUGUGCUACAAUCAAAACAUAGAUCUCUGACGUCAGCCUUAUUGUUCUUCAUUGUGUUGAUCAAGAGCUUUCAGGUUCCUCUUUCCAUGUAGUUGAGGAAAUUCCUCAGCCCAUUGUCACCUCGGAUCUCAUGCUGCAACUCCAUCCUUAGCUCAACACCCACUGGCCCCUGCUUUCAAACGGUUGCUGGUCUUCAGGUAGAGCAGGUUCUGCAGAUCAAAGGACAUUUUUCACUAAAAAUCUCUGACAUCAGAGACAGAGACUACAUAUCUAUAAUGAACCUUUCCGAAACCUGUCCAUUAGAAAGCCACUUCUCAGUACAGAGGUGGCCCUUGGAGUCUUUCCAGGAUUUUCACAUCCAUCUGCGAAGAGGAAAAGAACUCCUGAAACUGGGCUGACUUCAUAACCAGUUUAAUUUCACACAUCUCACCUUUCUGGAGCUGCCUUGUUUUUCCCUUCUUGCAUCACUGCAGAGGAAAUUCAUGGACUUCCUAAAGGUGAGGCUGACCCAUUAGUAAGAAAGUCUUGCUUUAUAUUAAGUUGGCUUUCUCUGGAGAUCUCCUAACUGCUUUAUAAACAUUCUUUCACACCUCCAAGCAGGUAGGUGGUAACUCAUAUUCAAUUGUUACUUUAGUUUCAGUGAUCCCCAGGAGCACUGAUCCCCUGACCAGAUGCCAUGGAGGCUGCUAAGUCAGGUAGCUGGCUGGGCUGUGGAACAAUGGGCAAAAUCACAGCUCAGCCCCAUUGUCUUUGGCUGCAGAUUACCCAGCAACAGGGCCGCUCUCCAGAUGCAGGUCAAGGAGGAGUGGACCCUGAGGCCUGGCAGCACGCACACUUAGCUACCUGGAGGCCUUCUGAGUGAAGCCCCAUAUCCGGAGCCAGUACCUGAGCUACAGCCGCUACGUGCAGGUUGCGCACUGAUAGAAGUGGCCCUGCAGCCUCCAACUUCGCGCUUCCCCUCUGGACCCCAGCAGCGCAGACUCCCAUGUCAGAUGCCACUGCCGCGCCUAAGUCAGGUGGUCCGCCUUGCAGCAGCACGAGGGCGGGAAAGGCCACUCAGCCUCAUACUGGCAGCUGCACAGUGCCCAGAACCCGCCACCUCGUGCCAAGGAAGAGCACACCCUAGAAUGGGAGGUUAGGCACACCCUAGAAUGGGAGGAGCA
RNAcentral lists this long non-coding RNA (1871 nucleotides) under Pan paniscus (pygmy chimpanzee). RNAcentral's name for it is "lncRNA (ENSPPAG00000044579.1)". The record is from RNAcentral. Lineage: Eukaryota; Metazoa; Chordata; Mammalia; Primates; Hominidae.